AUUGCCGGGUAGCGAAACUCGGGUGGAUUUUUUCGCAACGAACGCAUGCAAUCUUCAUAAUUAUACCCUAGAACAUGUUUGGGAGUGUUUUUGAGCAUUCGGUUCCGGAACGAAAAAUGAUGCAAAACGGGUGCAUUUCGGCACCCGAAUGCACUAUUUCCGGGUAGCGAAACUCGGGUGGAUUUUUUCGCAACGAACGCAUGCAAUAUUCCUAAUUAUACCCUAGAACAUGUUUGG
This 237-nucleotide long non-coding RNA is filed under the name Setaria viridis. RNAcentral describes it as "long non-coding RNA (SVIR_LNC006921)". The record is from RNAcentral. Lineage: Eukaryota; Viridiplantae; Streptophyta; Magnoliopsida; Poales; Poaceae.